CAUUUAUUUACAUUUGGGCUCACAGCUUGGUUCUCUCCCUAUACAACUUAAUUCUCUCUUCGUACAGGAGGAGGAUUGGUGUGUAUAGGUCACCAUGGUGACCGGACUCCACACGACGUCAAUACGCACGGGGGCGGAGCAUGUGAGCAGGUGCGCGCGCACACCCAGAAGUUCCUAUGGUUCCGACAGGAGGUGGGUGUAACGCACCUGGGUGAG
Molecule: non-coding RNA, 216 nt
Organism: Pelobates cultripes (western spadefoot toad)
Lineage: Eukaryota; Metazoa; Chordata; Amphibia; Anura; Pelobatidae
Source: the annotation of a GenBank genome assembly